RNAcentral lists this ribosomal RNA (253 nucleotides) under uncultured bacterium. RNAcentral's name for it is "partial 16S ribosomal RNA". It matches the Rfam family "Bacterial small subunit ribosomal RNA", at positions 524 to 776 of the family's 1533-position model. The record is from RNAcentral.
UACGAAGGGGGCUAGCGUUGCUCGGAAUCACUGGGCGUAAAGGGUGCGUAGGCGGCUUUCUAAGUCGGGGGUGAAAUCCUGGAGCUCAACUCCAGAACUGCCUCCGAUACUGGAAAGCUCGAGUCCGGGAGAGGUGAGUGGAACUGCGAGUGUAGAGGUGAAAUUCGUAGAUAUUCGCAAGAACACCAGUGGCGAAGGCGGCUCACUGGCCCGGUACUGACGCUGAGGUGCGAAAGCGUGGGGAGCAAACAGG